This 2945-nucleotide long non-coding RNA is filed under the name Macaca mulatta (Rhesus monkey). RNAcentral's name for it is "lncRNA (ENSMMUG00000049645.1)". The record is from RNAcentral. Lineage: Eukaryota; Metazoa; Chordata; Mammalia; Primates; Cercopithecidae.
AUGAUUAAAGCCAUCACUAAGUUAGUGAGCAUCUCACCUUCUUUUCACUCUAUUAUGGAGAUCAGACCCUCCCAGUCUUCAGUGCACUCUAAAUACUGGCUAAUUCUGGCCAAUGGAAGGCAUCUGUGGAAGAAAAAAGCCUCCGGUCAUGUGGUAUCUGUCUUUAUUCACUGUAACAUAUUAGGUAAUGGUCACAGCCACUCACCAUGGCCGUUUUUAAUAACGACCCUGCUUUUGUGUUCCAGUAACUUCUGUUGUUUUCCUGAUCCUAAGUAUGAUAGAAACUUCCUGCUGCUGCUAAUCUCUGGGUUCCAUUUAAAAUCCUUCUGUCACAUGAACACUAUGUGCUGUACUAAAUUUUUCCAUAAUUAAAUACUUAGAAUCAUUUUUGCCUACUUAUUUUAGCCCUUAGUGAUAUGUUUUAAAAAACGCUUAUUUUUUUUUUUUUUUUUUGAGAGGGAGUCUCGCUCUGUCUCCCAGGCUGGAGUGCAGUGGCGCGAUCUCCGCUCACUGCAAGCUCCGUCGCCUCCUGGGUUCACGCCAUUCUCCUGCCUCAGCCUCCCGAGAAGCUGGGACUACAGGUGCCCGCCGCCACGCCUGGCUAAUUUUUCUGUAUUUUUAGUAGAGAUGGGGUUUCACUGUGUUCGCCAAGGUGAUCUCGAUCUCCUGACCUUGUGAUCCGCACGCCUCGGCCUCCCAAAGUGUUGGGAUUACAGGCGUGAAGCCACUGCACCUGGCCAAAAACACUUAUAAUGUGUUACAAUAUAUUUAGCAAAUGUAGGGAAUGACAUUUUUACUUUCGUCAGCAUUUUCACUAGCAUUUAUGUAGUAAUGCUAUCUCAAGUAUUUUUAGUCAUUUAAACGUUAUCUAAUAGAUAACGCUUUUGAUUCGUUUCUAUGUAAAUAUACUUGAGAUAUUCAGUAAAUAGUAUUUAAUAUAUGUUUCUUUUAUGUAAUAUAAAAUUUUGAUUUUUUUUUUAAACAGUGCAUCAUAUUUACUUGUUGGCUUUUUGAUAACUUAGAAAUAAUAUUCUGGAUUAACUGUGACUCGUGAGAGAGUUCGUGCAACUAUAAUGUUUCCAAAUUUACUUGAUUUUCAAGACUUACACUAGAACUGUGAGAACAAGGUAUUAAGCAUAUGUAUUAAUAUCACCUUUGGUCAACUCUUGGGUGGCCCCAAUGGUAGUGUAGGAAUUAACAUAAUUUUUCCUACUAAAAGUAUUGGAUUUGUUUUGAGAGACCACAGUUUAAAGUCAUUGACAUACAAAGUUGUUGGAUUAAAAAUUUUUAAUACAUUUGAAGUGGUUUUAUAGAAAAAUAAUUAUCUAAUCUGGUUUACAUUGAUAGGUUGUUUUCUUGGAUAAGAACUAGACGAAGAGAAAGGGAGAGUAGUGAUAAAUGUCCAGGUUUUCAAGUUGAAAAAUAACAAUCAGUGUAUUACAACGGAUGUGAUGUCAAAUUACAAAUGCUGAAAACGUUAUAUGUAAUCACGUAACCAGAGUAAUUAUAUAAGGUAAAGAACUGAAAGGCAUCCAAAUAGGAAAGAGGCUGGAGUGCAGUGGCACCAUUUCAGCUCACUGCAACCUCUGCCUCCUGGGUUCAAGCGAUUCUUCUGCCUCAGCCUCCCAAGUAGCUGGGAUUACAGGCGCGUGCCAGCACACCUGGCUAAUUUUUGUAUUUUUUUUAGUAGAGACAGGGUUUCAUCAUAUAGGCCAGGCUGGUGUCUAACCUCUGACCUCGUGAUCCACCUGCCUCACCCUCCCAAAGUACUGGGAUUAGAGGCAUGAGCCGCCGCGCCCAGCCAACAUAGAGAUAAUCUUUAAGAUUCCAUCAAAAAAAAAAAAAAAAAAAAAAAGCUGUUAGCUGAUAAACACAUUCAAAGUUGAGAGUUACAAAAUUAACAUAUAAAUAGUAUUAUUGUUUCUAUACACCAAUGACAAACUAUUAACUGAAAAACAAUAAAGUACUUCCAUUUAUAAUAGCAUAACAAAUAUAUAAGUUAAAAGACUAAUUUUGAAGAAGGAUGUGAAACAUUUGUAAACUGAAAAUUUAUAGCACUGUUGAAAGAAAUUGAAAGUGACAUAAAUAGAAAAAAUCUCGUAUUUAUGCAUUUGAAAAAAUUAAUACUGUCAAGAUUUCAGUGCUACCCAAAGCAGUCUACAGAUUAAAUGUAAGCACUAUCAAAAUCCAGUUCCAUUCUUCACAGAAGGAGAAAAAUUAGUCCCAAAAUCUGAAUGGAACCGCAGAAGAUGCUGAAAAACCAAAGCAAUCUUGAGCAAAAAGGACAAAGUUAGAGGCAUCAGACUACUUGAUUUCAAAUGAUACUAAAAAGUUAUAGUACUUAAAACAGCACAGCACUGGCAUAAAAACAGACACCUAGACCAGUGUGAGGGAAUACAGAACCUAUGAAUAAAUCCAUGUGUCUGUGGCCAAUUGAUUUUUGAUAAAAGGACAAAGAAUACACAAUGGGGAAAGAAAACUCUCUUCAAUAGAUAAUGUAGAGAAAAACUGACUAUUCACAUACAGAAGAAUAAAAUUGGAUCGUUGUUUCACUCUUUAUACCAACAUCAAAUAGCAAUGGAUGAAAGACUGAAAUAUAAACCUGAAACCAUAAACCCGAUGCAAGCAAAGAUAGGAGAAAACCGUAUGACAAUGGCCUGAGCUAUGAUUUUCUGCAGGUGACCCCAAAAGUACAGGCAACAAAAGCAAAAACAUACAAAUGAGAUUCCAUAAAACUAAGACGCUUCUCUGCACAGCAGAAGAAACAGUAAUAAAGAGACAACCCACAAAUGGGAAGAGAGAAUUUUUAAACCAUACAUCAGGUAAGGGUUUAUAUCAAUAAUAUGUAAGGAACUCAACCCAGAAAUGAGAAAGCAGGCUUACUAAAUAAGCAAAGGACUUGAGUAGACAUUUUCUAAAAACAGACAUACAAAAAGCCAGGUUUU